RNAcentral lists this ribosomal RNA (498 nucleotides) under uncultured bacterium. RNAcentral describes it as "bacterial SSU rRNA". It matches the Rfam family "Bacterial small subunit ribosomal RNA", at positions 28 to 506 of the family's 1533-position model. The record is from RNAcentral.
GAUGAACGCUAGCGGCAGGCUUAAUACAUGCAAGUUGAGGGGCAGCAUGAUAUACGCGAGUAUAUUGAUGGCGACCGGCGGACGGGUGAGUAAUAGGUAGGAGACCUACCUCAUACAGGGGGAUAGCAUAGAGAAAUCUGUGGUAAUACCCCAUGAGGUUAUAUGAAUAGAGGCAUAUAAUCAAAGCAUAAGCGAUUAUGCGGUAUGAGAGGGGCCUACUGACCAUUAGCUAGUUGGUGAGGUAAGGGCUCACCAAGGCGAAGAUGGUUAGGGGUUUUGAGAGAGAGACCCCCCACAUUGGAACUGAGAGACGGUCCAGACUCCUACGGGAGGCAGCAGUAGGGAAUAUUGGGCAAGUGGGCGAAAGCCUGACCCAGCCAUGCCGCGUGAAGGAAGACGGCCUUAUGGGUUAGUAAACUUCUUUACUACGCGAAUAGAGGUUAGUACGAGAUACUAAUAGGAAGGUAGUGUAAGUAAAAAGCAACCGGCUAACUCCGU